GUAAUAGCUCACUUGUCGAGUCGGCCUGCACGUAAGAUUUAACGGCGCUAAGCUAUGCACUGAAGUUGCGGAAUAUAUUUAGUAUAUUGGUAGGGGAGCGUUCUGUAAGACGAUGAAGGUGAAUUGAGAAGUUUGCUGGAGGUAUCAGAAGUGCGAAUGCUGACAUGAGUAACGUAAAAUAAGUGAUAUUCUUAUUGGCCGAAAACCCAAGGGUUCAUACGCAAUGUUAAUCAACGUAGGGUA
RNAcentral lists this ribosomal RNA (243 nucleotides) under Francisella tularensis subsp. holarctica. Its description in RNAcentral is "partial 23S ribosomal RNA". It matches the Rfam family "Bacterial large subunit ribosomal RNA", at positions 1134 to 1381 of the family's 2925-position model. The record is from RNAcentral. Lineage: Bacteria; Pseudomonadati; Pseudomonadota; Gammaproteobacteria; Thiotrichales; Francisellaceae.